RNAcentral lists this ribosomal RNA (497 nucleotides) under uncultured bacterium. RNAcentral describes it as "partial 16S ribosomal RNA". It matches the Rfam family "Bacterial small subunit ribosomal RNA", at positions 28 to 507 of the family's 1533-position model. The record is from RNAcentral.
GAUGAACGCUGGCGGCGUGCCUAAUACAUGCAAGUCGAGCGAACAGACGAGGAGCUUGCUCCUCUGACGUUAGCGGCGGACGGGUGAGUAACACGUGGAUAACCUACCUAUAAGACUGGGAUAACUUCGGGAAACCGGAGCUAAUACCGGAUAAUAUAUUGAACCGCAUGGUUCAAUAGUGAAAUACGGUUUUGCUGUCACUUAUAGAUGUAUCCGCGCCGCAUUAGCUAGUUGGUAAGGUAACGGCUUACCAAGGCAACGAUGCGUAGCCGACCUGAGAGGGUGAUCGGCCACACUGGAACUGAGACACGGUCCAGACGCCUACGGGAGGCAGCAGUAGGGAAUCUUCCGCAAUGGGCGAAAGCCUGACGGAGCAACGCCGCGUGAGUGAUGAAGGUCUUCGGAUCGUAAAACUCUGUUAUUAGGGAAGAACAAAUGUGUAAGUAACUAUGCACGUCUUGACGGUACCUAAUCAGAAAGCCACGGCUAACUACGUG